Bactrocera oleae (olive fruit fly) is the source of this 3215-nucleotide non-coding RNA. NCBI's taxonomy places the organism in Eukaryota, Metazoa, Arthropoda, Insecta, Diptera, Tephritidae. The record is from RefSeq and is a predicted model, not a curated record.
GGUAGGUACAUUCAAACAAAGGCUUAAUAAUUAAUUCCGGAGUAAUAUUAUUUUAAAAGUUUUAAUUUGGAGUUCAUUAUAUUUUUUUGAUAAAUAAAAAUAUUACAUUUAUUUUUCUUAUCGUUUAUAAAUAGAAUAAGAAUUUCAUUACGUAUGCGAUUUGGAACCUAAAUAGUAAAAUUCAAUAACUAAAGUUUUCAUAUGGAAUGUAAAUAGAGUUGGAAAGUAAAAUUAUUAUGUAUUAAAAUAUUUAUUUAUUUAAACAAAACACAAUUUAUAGUAAAAAAUAUUUCUUCUCGUGAAUGUUUACUUAUUCCUGAUAUGUGGCAUCGCUUUGAGGGCAUUUGUACAACUUUGUGUGUUUAUUUACAACCAGCUGUUUUGUGAAUUUCAUACAUAAUUUUAUUUUGUCGGCAUUUUAUUUAAAGAAAGAAAUUAAGACAAAUAUCAGGAAUAUACCUACAUUUGCUAUUAUAACUAUCAACAUGAAUACUAUGACAAAUGUGAAGAAUGUUCUUAAACUCAGUGCAACUGACUUAAAAGGUGGCAAGAAAUCAUGGCAUGAUAUGUAUAAGGAUUCAGCAUGGAUCUUUGUUGGUGGUUUACCAUACACACUAACGGAAGGCGAUAUAAUCUGUGUAUUUUCACAGUAUGGCGAAAUUGUGAAUAUUAACUUGAUAAGGGAUAAAAGUAGUGGAAAGUCAAAAGGUUUUUGUUUUAUUUGUUACGAAGACCAACGUUCUACUAUCUUGGCAGUUGAUAAUUUAAAUGGUAUUAAACUACUUGGGCGUACAAUACGCGUGGAUCACGUCGCCGAUUAUAAACCACCAAAAGAGAAUGAAAAAAUGGACGAGGAGACACUUAGAUUGUAUAUAGAGGGCUGUGCACCAAAACCAAUGGUGCAGAAACAGGAACGAACAUAAAGAUUUACAUUCCGCAGCACAUCUUUUUAAAGAUAAUAUAUUUACCGAAUAUAACAGUUAAAUAAAACAUAGUAAAUAUAUAAUAAUGUAGGUAGCGUGUUGUCGCACUCAAAUAUGUCCAAAUAUAAACUUUGGUCACUACGCAAAAUUACCUCGUAUUAUUGCUUUUGCUAGAUGCCAAAAAACAAUAUCAAAAUAAAAAUUUAAUUAAAAGUCUACAUUUUAAAUUCAUAUUUUAUUUUAUUUUUAUAAAAAUGCUUACUUCCAAUUAUAAAUUAGACAUUUUCAGACUUCCUUGAAGUAAAAUUUUGUUACAUUAAACAAAAAUGGUUUAUCACAACGUUUCUAGAAAUAAAUGAUUCUAACGUGCCAUUACUGGGCAGACGAAUAAUAUAGUAGUUUUAAUUAUACUUUUUACACAAAACAUUUGAAGAUAAAAGUUUAUAUUUAUGUAUGUAUGUAUGUAUAUAUGUAGGUCGAUUAGCGAUAGUCAUAUUAAAAAUAAACAGCAAACUUUUUACAAAUCUAUUAUUUCCAUUAAAACCGAAGUAGUAAAGUUUAAAGCAGAGAGAUCUGUCCAAAAUAUAAAAUAUGCCUAUCUAUUGAUUUUACGAUGUUUUUUAAUUCCUGUAAAGAGAAAUCAUAGAAUCAGUAUGAUUUGUUGUAAUCGAAAUUAACAUUGAAAAUUACGCCACAUACUUGCAUUACAAUGUCGACCAUAAAAGCCGCGAUCACAUUUACAUGUUUUAUUCGCCGUACAGACACCGUGCUUGCAAGGACGCCUACAGGUUGAGCGUUGUAUGCGCUCGAUCUCGCAAUGGUUGCCCAGCAAUCCGCUUGGACAACGACAAAUAUUGGUGCCUAUGCAACGACCGCCAUUUUUACAAGGAAUUACACAUUUAGCUAAAAAAAAUUUAGAAUAACAUACAAAUAAAAUUAAAAGUUAUAGAUAUAUGUGUGCACUUACAAAAUUCGCAGUGCAGUCCAUAGUAACCUUUUGAACAUUGGCAUUUAUCCUUCUGUAUGCAUUUGCCACCAUUCAAGCAUUUUUCAGAGCAGAUGCCUGAAAAAUAUUAAUAAUUUACUAAAAAUAAAUGCGGCUGAAUUACAUAUUUUCAAUAAUAUAAACUUAAUAAUUAAGUAGUUGAUUGGUAUAAAAAAAUCUAGGUUUGCGCCACCUUCGUAAAAUGAAAAAAAAUUGUAUAUAAUUAAACUCUACAUUCUUAAUAUGCACAAUUUGAAGAUUUCGGUAAAUUUAUUAUUCCUGAACAGCUAGAUCAUAUUCUAAUUGUUGAAUGUUGUUGUGAACGGAACCAGAUUUAUAUAUCGGGUUAGGAAUCGCUAACAUAAUAAUAUUAAUAAACAACUCAAAAAAAUGAGUUUCAAAACGUUUAAACGUAAAAAUAUUACAAAAUUUGCUUAUAGAAGUUUGAACUCCACUUUUAUGUUGCUUUCACUUUACAUAGUAUCUUUUAGGCGCGUUAUUAAAGCAGAUAACGGUUUCAUUUGUGACAUUUCAUAAAUCAAAAUGAUUUUAUUAUGAUUUAAAAUUUUUGAGUGGUAUUUAUUAUUUUUUUUUUUUGUUUUUCUUUCCUUUCCAUUUCUCAUUCACUCAGUAUUCAAGCAUGCUGCGCCUCUCGAACAUAUCAAACAACAGUUGGCGCCUCAUACGGUGCCGACCGAUACUGCAACAGUCUCAGCAAAAUGUCGCAACUGAGCAUGGAAGUAAAGAAAAUCCAGAAUCCACCACGACACUACGUAAGCGGCCCACUAAAUUGACAGAUGAGAUCAUACGUGUUGAUCAUGCUGGUGAAUUGGGUGCCGAUCGUAUUUAUGCCGGUCAAAUGGCGGUUUUAGGUAAAGGUCCGAUGGGCAAGACUAUUGCGCACAUGUGGGAACAGGAGAAGGAGCAUCGCAGAAAAUUCGAAACACUCAUACAAGAGCACAGAGUGCGACCCACCAUUAUGGUGCCGAUUUGGAAUGUAGCCGGCUUUAUGUUGGGAGCGGGCACUGCAUUGCUGGGUGAAAAAGCUGCCAUGGCUUGCACCGUUGCUGUGGAGACAGUUAUCGUGGAGCAUUACAAUGAACAAUUGCGACAAAUUAUGGAAUCCCCCAAACCGGAUAAGGAACUCUUGGAUACAAUAACAAAGUUCCGUGAUGAGGAACAAGAACAUCAUGAUACGGGUAUUAAUUGUGGCGCUGAACAGGCACCCUUUUAUAAAGCAAUUACGGAAGUUAUCAAAAUCGGCUGUAAGACAGCUAUUGCUAUUUCGAAACGUAUUUAAAAAUGUA